RNAcentral lists this transfer RNA (77 nucleotides) under Bacteriophage sp. RNAcentral describes it as "tRNA-Gly". It matches the Rfam family "tRNA". From Rfam's summary of the family: Transfer RNA (tRNA) molecules are approximately 80 nucleotides in length. Their secondary structure includes four short double-helical elements and three loops (D, anti-codon, and T loops). Further hydrogen bonds mediate the characteristic L-shaped molecular structure. tRNAs have two regions of fundamental functional importance: the anti-codon, which is responsible for specific mRNA codon recognition, and the 3' end, to which the tRNAs corresponding amino acid is attached (by aminoacyl-tRNA synthetases). tRNAs cope with the degeneracy of the genetic code in two manners: having more than one tRNA (with a specific anti-codon) for a particular amino acid; and 'wobble' base-pairing, i.e. permitting non-standard base-pairing at the 3rd anti-codon position. The record is from RNAcentral. RNAcentral also lists the same sequence under 2 other names.
GUGACUGUAGUUCAAUUGGUAGAGCGUCGGAUUUCCAAUCCGAAUGUUUGCGAGUUCAAACCUCGUCAGUCACUCCA